Molecule: non-coding RNA, 21 nt
Filed under: Caenorhabditis elegans
Lineage: Eukaryota; Metazoa; Nematoda; Chromadorea; Rhabditida; Rhabditidae
Source: RNAcentral
UUAAAGUCACAAGAGAACAAC